UACGUAGGUGGCAAGCGUUGUCCGGAAUCAUUGGGCGUAAAGAGCGUGUAGGCGGUCCGGUCAGUCGGUUGUGAAAGUCAAGGGCUCAACCCUUGAAUGCCGGCCGAUACUGCCGGGCUAGAGUCCGGAAGAGGUGAGUGGAAUUCCUGGUGUAGCGGUGAAAUGCGCAGAUAUCAGGAGGAACACCGAUGGCGAAGGCAGCUCACUGGGACGGUACUGACGCUGAGACGCGAAAGCGUGGGGAGCAAACAGG
This 253-nucleotide ribosomal RNA is filed under the name uncultured bacterium. Its description in RNAcentral is "partial 16S ribosomal RNA". It matches the Rfam family "Bacterial small subunit ribosomal RNA", at positions 524 to 776 of the family's 1533-position model. The record is from RNAcentral.